CGUGUAGGCGGUUUGUCUAGUCAGGCGUGAAAGCCCCGGGCUUAACCUGGGAACUGCGUUUGAUACUGACAGGCUAGAGGUUGGGAGAGGAGAGUGGAAUUCCCAGUGUAGAGGUGAAAUUCGUAGAUAUUGGGAAGAACACCAGUGGCGAAGGCGGCUCUCUGGUCCACACCUGACGCUGAGGCGCGAAAGCGUGGGGAGCAAACAGGAUUAGAUACCCUGGUAGUCC
RNAcentral lists this ribosomal RNA (229 nucleotides) under uncultured bacterium. RNAcentral's name for it is "partial 16S ribosomal RNA". It matches the Rfam family "Bacterial small subunit ribosomal RNA", at positions 568 to 796 of the family's 1533-position model. The record is from RNAcentral.